GCAAUCUGCCACUUAUGGAUGGACCUACGGCGCAUUAGCUAGUUGGUGGGGUAACGGCUCACCAAGGCGACGAUGCGUAGCCGACCUGAGAGGGUGAUCGGCCACACUGGGACUGAGACACGGCCCACACUCCUACGGGAGGCAGCAGUAGGGAAUCUUCCGCAAUGGACGCAAGUCUGACGGAGCAACGCCGCGUGAGUGAUGAAGGUUUUCGGAUCGUAAAGCUCUGUUGCCAGGGAAGAACGCUAUGGAGAGUAACUGUUCCAUAGGUGACGGUACCUGAGAAAAAAGCCCCGGCUAACUACGUGCCAGCAGCCGCGGUAAUACGUAGGGGGCAAGCGUUGUCCGGAAUUAUUGGGCGUAAAGCGCGCGCAGGCGGUCAUGUAAGUCUGGUGUUUAAACCCGGGGCUCAACUCCGGGUCGCAUCGGAAACUGUGUGACUUGAGUGCAGAAGAGGAAAGUGGAAUUCCACGUGUAGCGGUGAAAUGCGUAGAGAUGUGGAGGAACACCAGUGGCGAAGGCGACUUUCUGGGCUGUAACUGACGCUGAGGCGCGAAAAGCGUGGGGAGCAAACAGGGAUUAUA
Molecule: ribosomal RNA, 584 nt
Filed under: Paenibacillus dendritiformis
Lineage: Bacteria; Bacillati; Bacillota; Bacilli; Caryophanales; Paenibacillaceae
Description: bacterial SSU rRNA
Rfam family: Bacterial small subunit ribosomal RNA
Source: RNAcentral